RNAcentral lists this ribosomal RNA (483 nucleotides) under uncultured bacterium. Its description in RNAcentral is "partial 16S ribosomal RNA". It matches the Rfam family "Bacterial small subunit ribosomal RNA", at positions 28 to 507 of the family's 1533-position model. The record is from RNAcentral.
GACGAACGCUGGCGGCGUGCUUAACACAUGCAAGUCGAACGCUGAAGCUCAGCUUUUGUUGGGUGGAUGAGUGGCGAACGGGUGAGUAACACGUGAGUAACCUGCCUCCUUCUUUGGGAUAACGCCCGGAAACGGGCGCUAAUACUGGAUAUUCACUGGUCUUCGCAUGGGGGUUGGUGGAAAGUGUUUUUCUGGUGGGGGAUGGGCUCGCGGCCUAUCAGCUUGUUGGUGGGGUGAUGGCCUACCAAGGCUUUGACGGGUAGCCGGCCUGAGAGGGUGACCGGUCACAUUGGGACUGAGAUACGGCCCAGACUCCUACGGGAGGCAGCAGUGGGGAAUAUUGCACAAUGGGCGCAAGCCUGAUGCAGCGACGCCGCGGGAGGGAUGGAGGCGUUCGGGUUGUGAACCUCUUUCGCUCAUGGUCAAGCCGCAACAAUGGUUGUGGUGAGGGUAGUGGGUAAAGAAGCGCCGGCUAACUACGUG